GGAUCUUUUAAUAAGCAAACAUAAUUAUCUUGUGAUCAAUCAUUAAACUGGAAGAAAGGAAAGAUAAUUUUCAAUUCGAUAAGCAAAAUCCAACUACACUGUAAUCGUGAGAGAUCUAGGAAGACAGUGUGGAAAGGGUUUUGUUCUCACCCUGGAAGGAAACUAUGUACUAUAAUAUUA
RNAcentral lists this long non-coding RNA (180 nucleotides) under Polistes fuscatus (common paper wasp). RNAcentral describes it as "uncharacterized LOC122515862". The record is from RNAcentral. Lineage: Eukaryota; Metazoa; Arthropoda; Insecta; Hymenoptera; Vespidae.